This 1479-nucleotide ribosomal RNA is filed under the name metagenome. RNAcentral's name for it is "bacterial SSU rRNA". It matches the Rfam family "Bacterial small subunit ribosomal RNA". The record is from RNAcentral.
AGAGUUUGAUCCUGGCUCAGGAUGAACGCUGGCGGCGUGCUUAACACAUGCAAGUCGAACGAAGCACUUUAUUUGAUUUCCUUCGGGACUGAUUAUUUUGUGACUGAGUGGCGGACGGGUGAGUAACGCGUGGGUAACCUGCCUUGUACAGGGGGAUAACAGUUGGAAACGGCUGCUAAUACCGCAUAAGCGCACAGCAUCACAUGAUGCAGUGUGAAAAACUCCGGUGGUAUAAGAUGGACCCGCGUUGGAUUAGCUAGUUGGUGAGGUAACGGCCCACCAAGGCGACGAUCCAUAGCCGACCUGAGAGGGUGACCGGCCACAUUGGGACUGAGACACGGCCCAAACUCCUACGGGAGGCAGCAGUGGGGAAUAUUGCACAAUGGGCGAAAGCCUGAUGCAGCGACGCCGCGUGAGCGAAGAAGUAUUUCGGUAUGUAAAGCUCUAUCAGCAGGGAAGAUAAUGACGGUACCUGACUAAGAAGCACCGGCUAAAUACGUGCCAGCAGCCGCGGUAAUACGUAUGGUGCAAGCGUUAUCCGGAUUUACUGGGUGUAAAGGGAGCGCAGGCGGUGCGGCAAGUCUGAUGUGAAAGCCCGGGGCUCAACCCCGGUACUGCAUUGGAAACUGUCGUACUAGAGUGUCGGAGGGGUAAGCGGAAUUCCUAGUGUAGCGGUGAAAUGCGUAGAUAUUAGGAGGAACACCAGUGGCGAAGGCGGCUUACUGGACGAUAACUGACGCUGAGGCUCGAAAGCGUGGGGAGCAAACAGGAUUAGAUACCCUGGUAGUCCGCACGGUAAACGAUGGAUGCCCGCUGUUGGUCUGAACAGGUCAGCGGCCAAGCGAAAGCAUUAAGCAUCCCACCUGGGGAGUACGCCGGCAACGGUGAAACUCAAAGGAAUUGACGGGGGCCCGCACAAGCGGAGGAACAUGUGGUUUAAUUCGAUGAUACGCGAGGAACCUUACCCGGGCUUGAAUUGCAGAGGAAGGAUUUGGAGACAAUGACGCCCUUCGGGGUCUCUGUGAAGGUGCUGCAUGGUUGUCGUCAGCUCGUGCCGUGAGGUGUCGGCUUAAGUGCCAUAACGAGCGCAACCCCUCUCCUUAGUUGCCAUCAGGUUAAGCUGGGCACUCUGGGGACACUGCCACCGUAAGGUGUGAGGAAGGUGGGGAUGACGUCAAAUCAGCACGGCCCUUACGUCCGGGGCUACACACGUGUUACAAUGGCAGGUACAGAGAGACGGUCCCUUGCAAAACGGAUCAAAUCCUUAAAGCCUGUCUCAGUUCGGACUGGGGUCUGCAACCCGACCCCACGAAGCUGGAUUCGCUAGUAAUCGCGCAUCAGCCAUGGCGCGGUGAAUACGUUCCCGGGCCUUGUACACACCGCCCGUCAAGCCAUGAAAGCCGGGGGCGCCUAAAGUCCGUGACCGUAAGGAGCGGCCUAGGGCGAAACUGGUAAUUGGGGCUAAGUCGUAACAAGGUA